Long non-coding RNA from Cynoglossus semilaevis (tongue sole), 6960 nucleotides. RefSeq lists it as uncharacterized. Lineage: Eukaryota; Metazoa; Chordata; Actinopteri; Pleuronectiformes; Cynoglossidae. The record is from RefSeq and is a predicted model, not a curated record. The transcript has 6 exons.
GGUGGAGAAGACAAACUCCUGACGGUGGCCGGAAGUCCUCUGGCUGCGGUGAAACUCAGCCCGGCCCUGCUGCUGAGUCCAGAGGAGCUGGGGAAUCUUGGAGCAUCUCCGGAGUCUGACAUUUACGGUAGCAGCAUCCCCAGAGCACUGUAAUCCAACAGCUGGAACUAUAUAUCUUCAGAGCUGGAGCCAGGGAUCUCUGAGAGGAUGAUCUGUUUGACGUCUCCAUGAUGGAGAAGUGGAGUCAUACCAUGGUCAGAGAUGAUGAUCACAUUCAUCUGGUCAGUGAGGCUGUUCCCCAAUUUUGUCACGGAUGUAUCUUAUGAGCGGUCUGCAGUCAGGCCAGCCAACCGCAGCCCAUUCCCCUACAGCACUGAGAAAACUCAUCUACAUCCACUCCAGCACACUACACACAGAAAUGGACGGACGGACGUACGUGCACACACUUCCCUUAUGCAAACAAAAGAACUGAAAUAAGACUUGACAGGAACUGGAUUUCAGUCCUAGAAGACAAAGAACCCAGUUGUGACCUGGAGCCAAAGACAUCCUCCAGAAUUCAACACAGAUGAUCUUCUCCCAGUCUCUGCCAAUGGGUUGUUCCUAAGUGGCACCACCAAACCUGAUAGUUGAUUGGACCAGAGAGACGGGCAGGCAAUCAGACUCCACACAGACGACCCGAAGCCAGGAGCGUCUCCUUGUUUCAGCAGUUAAAGGACAGUUGGACAGCUCCCUCAGAGGCUCACAUUCAGCACCACGGACAGCGCUCUUCACUCCUCACUCCUCACUCCUCCGAGGCAGUUUUUAAAAUGUCAGAUUUUCUUUUAAUAUAAUCUGACUGAGCUCAGAAGAAAAAAUGCGUUUGCAUCAUGAAUAGUCAUGUAAUUGAUUCAAAACAGAUUUUGUCAAAAGUUAUGGAAGAAAAACUAUUAAUAAUUUAAAACGCUUGACUGAACUGUCACAGUAAUUCUUUGCAUCUACUACAAAGGCUUGGAAUUUGGAACUUGUAAACAAUACUAAAUAAGCAAAGCAGACUUUAAAACUGACAUUUUCUAACCUUCUGAUGUUGAAUACUAAAGAUCAGUCAACUACAGAUAUGACUGUAUGGAUGCAGUUUAAGAGCCAAUCAUGCGACAACAUCACGUAGUCCUGUGCACUUGGUGAAGGUGUCUGGGUCAGAUACGAGCGACUCUGCAGAGUCUUACUUUGUUAAUGGCAUCUGUUUUGACACCAUCUGCAAUAUCACUGCCUUAUACUUUCAGAAUUCUGACAAGAAUUAAGAUUAAAUUAUACUUUUUGCUGUAGAGGAGAAGAUGUUCCAGCGGUCAUAGAGCUAAAAACACAUUCAUUUAAUUUUGCAUUAAAAACGUAAGCAACUUUAACAGACCGUUAAAUGCAAACACAGACAACGCUUCAGUGCAUUUUGGCUUUCAGACCAUUUCAAAAUCACUCCUGCUAAAGUUGAAAGUGAGGUUUGUAAUGAGCAGAAAGGUGAUUGAAGUGACUCUAACCCUGACAUGAUGAAAGGACUGAUGUAAGUGUUUCACAAACUGCUGAUCCACUGCAGUUUCCCCACCAGCGUCUCCUCUGUUUUACAGACUGGUCCAGAAACCAGGUACAGUUUUAGGAACGUCACAUGUGUUUAUCGUCUGAGGAGUUUUACCAGACUGGGUCAAGAUAACAUGUUAAAAACAAAAUCACAUAUAUUUAUCUCAUCGUAUAGGCCACAUAUAGGCAAUCACAGAGAGCGCCAUCCAAUGGAGGGGCGAUACUGUAACAUUUUAGCAUUUUAAAAAAGAGCAAUCACAAUGGAGGGGCUGGGGGAGGACAACAGCGAGUGCUAAACCCUAAUCUUGCCUAGUCCACCAAAAUGGUUAGAGCGGACCAUGUGCAUGUUAUGUUACUUAGUAACUAACCUGCAUGUGAUUAAAAACCCCUUUUCUUCUUCUUCUUUUCACAGCAGGAAACCCUGCCCAAUGCCACUCCUGUGGGCUAAGACCAAAAGUUUUAGGAGUGGAGUUUUAGGAUAGUGUCAGAAAUUUGACUUAUGUUACAAGGAAGUAGAGGCAUACGGUAUAAAAAUGGUUUGUGCUUCUGCCUUACAGCAAGAAAAUCAGUGGUUCAGUCCCUGGUUGUAGUUGAUAGUCCUUCAAAUUGUAGUUUGCAUGCUAAUUUGUGUUAUUUGUAAGUGAAUUAUUCACUCUAAAUUGACUUGAGGUGUGAAUGUGAGUGUGAAUAGUUAGCUCUAUGUGAGGCCUUGUUGUGUACUGCUGAACUCCUCAGGGUGUAAUGCUGCCCUCGCCUGAUCACAGCUGGGAUUGACCGUGUAAAGGAUGAAGGUGAAGAAGAUAAAUGAAUGAAUGAAUAAGAGGACAGCAUCCAUCCUCCAUCCUGCUGCUCACAGUCUGAAUAUCAGGGUUUGGGGAAUAUUUUCCAAGCAUUCCUUAGGCGUCUUAGACUCAAAUAAAUAUGGCUGGAAUGACACGGUCUAUACAAGUCUUGUUGCUGAUCAUGUUCAUCCCUUCAUGAUCACAUUGACACCACUUCCUGACAGUGACGUCCAGGCAGGACGACUCGGCGUGUUAAACUCAAAGUUGGUUUCUUGAACUUGACAGUGAGUUCACUGAACAUCAGUUGCCUCCACAGUCACUGGAUCUUAAUCCAAUAGAGCACCUCAGAGACGGGGUGGAACAGGAGAUUGUUAUCGCAGACGUGCAGCCAACAAAUCCGCUGUAGGUCCUGUGAUGCUAUCAUGUCAAUAUGGACAGUCUCUGAGGAACGUUUCCAGCACUGUGUUGAAUCAGCGUCAUGCAGAAUUAAAGCAGUUGCCUCUAAUGACGUAGACAGUGUAUACAAAAAAGAGAUAAUUUUAAAUGCUGAUUAGUUUUCAAUUGGGAUGUCCGAUGUUAACUAUUUGCUGAUAUCUGAUAUGCCGAUUAUUAGGUGCCUUCUUCUGGGCAAAACUGUGUUAUCAGGUUUUUAUUAUCAGAGGAAAAACCACGACGAUUCUUACCUAUAUUACAUAAUUAUGCUAAUAUCGGGUCGAUAUAUCAGACAUUUGUAGUUUUUUGUUAAUUUAUUGACAAGAAAUAAGUGUGUUUGUGUGUGUUGAGUUGCACUCCCAGAGGGUAAACACUGUGUAUGAAGUACGGUGUGGGAAAACAAACACUGCAGAGAUUGUAAAACCCAGCACUUCUAACUUUCAUGAACUGCCUUCACUUGAGUGGAUGCAAGUGGAAUGAGCCACUGCUUGUCAUGCUUGAAAAGAUUCAGAUAUAUACACGAGGUUGCUCCUUUCACCCUGCAUUCUCAUUCUUUUCCUGGUUUAUUCCCUCGGACACGCUUUUUCUGUCUCUAUGACUUACAGAUGAGAGACAAGAUGAUUUUCAAGGUGGUAGAGGGAGAAGGGAGACCUGGAGCUCGGCCCUCUGUCUAACUUUCAUAUCAGAGAAAAAAAAUGAAAUGAUCGAUUUUCUGUCUGUUUCUCUCUCUGCCGGGAAUAUUAAAACAGACAGUGAGGUUUCACACUUACCCUUAGCACCACCACCAGCCCUCCUCUUUCUCCGCCCUCCUCUCCGCCUGCCGUCUCUCCCCAUCACUCCUCCUUUAUACCCUGCCCUUCCACUCCUGCAAGACCACAACUCCAACCCACACCCACUUUUUCAUGGUCAUCUUCGAUUUGGACUACUCCAGUGUCAUCCCUCCAUCUUUUCUGUUCUCCACUCGGGCCGUCUUUCAGAAGGUCACACUGCCGGUUGACAGCAGGCCUCUUUCUCCUGGGCUUGAUGGUAGAGGGCAGGCUCUGGACAAGGACUGAGGGUAAAGACGUAUAGAGAUGAGAAUUUGACAGAGGGAGAAGAUAAGGAGGAGGGGAAGGGUAGGGAGGAGGUUGUCGAGUUGUUCAUAGCCUCGGGCAGGAGUCUGUUAAAUGUGCUCCUCCAUUGCACCGUUGCAGCGUUUGGCUUCAUAUCCAUGCUGAUCUAAAGAGCUGAGAGGGAAAUGGAAAGGUGUGUGUGUACUCUUCAUGGAUACUCUCUGUUUUAUCCCUGACCGUGGUAGUGAUUCUCUCAAAUCUUUACUUUCCAUCUUAUCUUUGCUCAUAUUGAGCCUCAGGAUUCCUGAUAUAGGAAGGACUUCCUCUUCUGAGCCUGUUCUGUCCUUCUACUCGGCCCAACUUAUCAUUAAAGCUGUCUAUCUGACGGCUGGUUGGAUGUUGAUGUUAGUAUUUAUUUAUUUAUUUUGUUGCUUCUCUGUGGUAUGUUGUGUCUAACUCCUUCAAAUAAUCCGUAACUUUCACGGCCACACAUUAGAAGAGAGUUUGACGCUCUACCUGUACAGCGAGAAGAUUACUACUCUGAAUCCUGACAGUAACUUUUAGUAUAUCUGUAAUCCUGAAACAUGCAGGUUGGUUGGUAAUUUAAAUAUGCCACGUAUGCCAAACGGAUGGCUCGGGGGCUAAAUCCAGCCCACUGUGUCUGUAUAGGUGGCCUAACUUGGCUUAAUAGACAAAGGAAAUCAUAGGCAUAAUUGUAUAGAGUCUGUGCUAAUGUUUACUGCUGUGGUCAUGUCCCAUGUGUAUGACAAAUACAUGUCUAGUAUGUCACAAUUCUAAUUCUCUAAUUCCAAUUCUAAUCAAGCGUAUGGUUCAGUGUAAUUCACAGUCUGUUCAAAUUCAAUAUUAAUGCAGUGAAAGCACUGCCAGCAGUAAGACUGAUUAAAUACAGUAUAAGCCUGUAUCAGAAGGUUUCAGACAAUUCUGUGGUGUUGUUCUAACAAGUCAAAUGUUCCACAUGAACAUAGUUAAAGGAGUAAUGUGAUGGGACAUGAAAACCUCUACUCAGUAAUCACUCCAUUACCUCCUACUUUAAGGGCAUCCUAAAUGGUCAAAAAUGGCAACAAAAAAAAAAUAUAUAAAUGAAUUUCUGUCUUGUCCAAUUGUCCAAUGUGUCUGUCCUUCUUGUACUGUGUCUUGAGGCAGGAUGAAAAAAAAGACCCCACUUUUAGGAAUUUAUUUUGACGAAGUCUGGCUUGGACGAGUCACGUAAUGUAGUGUAUUAAGCAGAGAAACAGACUCCAUCAAGAAUCUGUUUCUCUGCAGCAGUUAAUGGUAAGUUAACAUGAGCACGACCCGUUUUUAUACCGCUGUUAUUUUGUUUGUGGCUCAUUACAUGAGCGACAUAUAACUAAUGUGCUUCUCUGAUACAGUGUCUCAAUUUAGGGCUGCCACAGAGCUGUGUGAAUAUUUUUAUACUCUUUAUUGUCGAUGUUUAAAUGAAUACGGUGAAGUAGUCCACUUCAAAACUAUCAUCCAGGAUGUCACGUUCACACUUAGUAAACUGUAAAACUGAGGGUCUGGGUCAUCGAGCAAAUGAGAGACAGGGACGGAAAUCUGCUUCAAUAACAGAAAUAUUUAAAGAAAAAACUGAUAGACUGUUAAAAUAGAGUUAUAUUUCAUAAAAAAACUGGUCUUAAACAUUUGAAUUAAAAGCAGUGCUGUUCUAGAUAAGUUGAAGCCUUGGUUAAAAAUGAAUGCCUUCACUGCUGUUGACCAGCAGGGUGCCUUUGGAAACGGAGCUGCUGUAGGUUGAAGACAAAUUAGGAGGAGGAGAGGGGGGAGCUGAUGUAACAGGCAGAGAGAAUAAGGAAAGGCAGGAGUGUGGAGGUUUGGACGUGGAGACGAGGGCUGGUGAAGGCAGGCCAUCGAUGCCAGACAUAAAAUAUUUGUGAUAUUUGUUCUUGCUGUACGACCUACUGUACUUCCCUAAUUCCCAUGUACAGUAUUUUGACCUCUUCAUUACACAAUGAGUUAAUUGCUGGAUGGUUAAAACUUUGUUGCAGGAGUGGAAAAAGAAGAAAAAAAAGAAGAGAAGGAAGAGGAAAACUCCUGCCGUCCUAACGGGAUUUUCUCUCUCGUCCCCCAUUUUGGGAACCAUGUCUUUUUUUCUUUUUUGUAAAUGAAAUCUCACAACUGAACUAAAAAACAACCUUCAAGUAAAUUAAAUAAAAACUGUGUCCAUUUAGAAAAUGCGUAUUGUGGAUAUAUUUGAAUAUUUCACACCACUGGAAAGAAGGCAAAAAGAGGAGCAAUACCAUACAACUAUUACUUACAUGCAUAAGAAGAUCCAAAAUAACUUAAAAACUGUUUUAAGGUUGGUCAGGACUUUUGUCUUUUUUUUGCCCUUUAGCCCGACUCUGAAAGUUUGUGGAGCUUGUCAAACGCCGCACACCUCUGCCACAUAUUCAGCAUUCACCUGACAAAAUCAGAGAGUGUAUUGUUAUUCUCAAGCUGCCAGUCUCACUCUUUAGAAGCCCAGCUAGUCUUAGCCCUCUGUUCAAGGUUGUCCUCAGUGCUGCCUGACAGUAAUGAUAUUAAUUCUCUGCCAACACUUGAACAAUUUCUCUUUCUUCCGUGUUAUCUGUUAUCCCCUGUACUUUCUUUGUUCUUCCAAAUCGUAAAUUGUUUUCCUUUGGCUCCACUUCUCCUUGAGCUUGUCAUUUGUUUUCCUAUUAAAGUCAUCCUAUGAUAAAGUUUGGUCUGUAGCUACGGGUCGGACAGAUUGAGUCUUUCUGUUUUAAGAUGUGUUUAUGCAAGACUGAGAGUUAUGUGUGCGUGUAUGUGUGUGUUCCAGCAGGGUUUUGUCAGAUGAGAUGAACAAUGGUGUGUGCCCCUGCAAUAAUUCCUGAAGAUUUCAGAGUUUUGGAUAUGGGGGAAAUAUGGAAGAAAUCCUGGCAGCAGAGGGCGUUAAAGUUUAGUCCACAGCUUGGAUAAAACCUGAACUGGAGGAACAAACAAGAAUGGAUGGAUGGAUGGAUGAAGGCUAGUCCAAAAACAAUAAAAAAGCCCAUCCAAUAGAUAUGUACUUGCAUUCCUGACCAGUAGAAGGCAGCACUAAGACCCUAGCAAGGAAGAACUCACUCAUUUUCUUUAAGAAAAAUAACAUAUUAAAAAUUCAUUUUGAAAAU